GAUGAACGCUGGCGGCGUGCCUAAUACAUGCAAGUCGAGCGAACAGACGAGGAGCUUGCUCCUCUGACGUUAGCGGCGGACGGGUGAGUAACACGUGGAUAACCUACCUAUAAGACUGGGAUAACUUCGGGAAACCGGAGCUAAUACCGGAUAAUCUAUUGAACCGCAUGGUUCAAUAGUGAAAGACGGUUUUGCUGUCACUUAUAGAUGGAUCCGCGCCGCAUUAGCUAGUUGGUAAGGUAACGGCUUACCAAGGCAACGAUGCGUAGCCGACCGGAGAGGGUGAUCGGCCACACUGGAACUUAGACACGGUCCAGACUCCUACGGGAGGCAGCAGUAGGGAAUCUUCCGCAAUGGGCGAAAGCCUGACGGAGCAACGCCGCGUGAGUGAUGAAGGUCUUCGGAUCGUAAAACUCUGUUAUUAGGGAAGAACAAAUGUGUAAGUAACUAUGCACGUCUUGACGGUACCUAAUCAGAAAGCCACGGCUAACUACGUG
RNAcentral lists this ribosomal RNA (497 nucleotides) under uncultured bacterium. RNAcentral describes it as "partial 16S ribosomal RNA". It matches the Rfam family "Bacterial small subunit ribosomal RNA", at positions 28 to 507 of the family's 1533-position model. The record is from RNAcentral.